GACGAACGCUGGCGGCGUGCUUAAUACAUGCAAGUCGAGCGAGGCCCAUCCAGUGGCAACACUGGGGAAGGCCGAGCGGCGAACGGGUGAGUAACACGUGAGCAACCUGCCCCGAAGUCUGGAAUAACAUCGGGAAACCGGUGCUAAUACCGGAUUGCCCCACCUGACCGCAUGAUCGGGUGAGGAAAGAUCUAUCGCUUCGGGAGGGGCUCGCGGCCUAUCAGCUAGNGGCGGGGUAACGGCCCACCAAGGCGUCGACGGGUAGCUGGUCUGAGAGGACGACCAGCCACACUGGGACUGAGACACGGCCCAGACUCCUACGGGAGCAGCAGUAGGGAAUCUUGCGCAAUGGGCGAAAGCCUGACGCAGCAACGCCGCGUGGGGA
This 385-nucleotide ribosomal RNA is filed under the name uncultured bacterium. Its description in RNAcentral is "bacterial SSU rRNA". It matches the Rfam family "Bacterial small subunit ribosomal RNA", at positions 28 to 407 of the family's 1533-position model. The record is from RNAcentral.